AUCGCUCCUCGGCCUUUUACCUAUCAUCGUUAGCAGACAACUGUUCUUGUCAGCUUAAUACCUGGUACGGGGCCAAGGGGCCCUGAGGCAUUAAUCUUAUUUUGUGGAAUAGCCUUCUUCACGAGCUUGCUCUGAAGAUGGUAGGGUCAGGCCGGCGUUGCAUAGCUGCCAAGAUUCGCCCAUAUCUU
This is a small nuclear RNA of Ixodes scapularis (black-legged tick), 188 nucleotides long. RefSeq annotates it as U2 spliceosomal RNA. The transcript has a single exon. Lineage: Eukaryota; Metazoa; Arthropoda; Arachnida; Ixodida; Ixodidae. The record is from RefSeq and is a predicted model, not a curated record.